This 74-nucleotide transfer RNA is filed under the name Euglena longa. RNAcentral describes it as "transfer RNA-fMet (CAU)". It matches the Rfam family "tRNA". Rfam says of the family: Transfer RNA (tRNA) molecules are approximately 80 nucleotides in length. Their secondary structure includes four short double-helical elements and three loops (D, anti-codon, and T loops). Further hydrogen bonds mediate the characteristic L-shaped molecular structure. tRNAs have two regions of fundamental functional importance: the anti-codon, which is responsible for specific mRNA codon recognition, and the 3' end, to which the tRNAs corresponding amino acid is attached (by aminoacyl-tRNA synthetases). tRNAs cope with the degeneracy of the genetic code in two manners: having more than one tRNA (with a specific anti-codon) for a particular amino acid; and 'wobble' base-pairing, i.e. permitting non-standard base-pairing at the 3rd anti-codon position. Lineage: Eukaryota; Euglenozoa; Euglenophyceae; Euglenales; Euglenaceae. The record is from RNAcentral.
GGCGAAGUAGAGUAAAAGGUUAGCUCGUGGGCCUCAUGACCCCAAGGUUAAAGGUUCGAAUCCUUUCUUCGCCA